Long non-coding RNA from Nycticebus coucang (slow loris), 1258 nucleotides. RefSeq lists it as uncharacterized. The record is from RefSeq and is a predicted model, not a curated record. The transcript is spliced from 4 exons. Lineage: Eukaryota; Metazoa; Chordata; Mammalia; Primates; Lorisidae.
UUGAAUAGAUAUUUCUCCACAGGUGAUAUACAAAUGGCCAACACACACUCAUGAAAAGAUGCUCAAGAGCACUAAUGAUUAGAGUACUGAAAAGCAAAACCACAAUCAAAAACCAUGUUACACUCCUUAGGAUGGCUACUAUCCAAACAACAAAACAAUAAGUGUUGGUGAAGAUUUGGAGAAACUGGAACCUUUGUACACUGGUGGAGGGAAUGUAUAAUGGUGUCUCUACUCUUGAAAACAGUAUGGUGGUUCCUCAAAGAGUGAAACAGGGUAACCAUGUGAAACCAUAAUCUCAAAGAGAUAUUAGUCCACCCACAUUCAUAGCAUUGUUCAUAAUAGCCAAAAAGUGGAAGCAACACAAGUGUUCAUCAGUGAUGUGUGGAUAAACCAGAUGUGGUCUGUAUGUACAUUUUCAAGCAUAAAAUGGAAGGAGAUUCUGAUGUAUACCACCACCUGGACGAACCUUAGGGGGACACUUUGCUAACCAGUCACAAAAGGAUGAAGAGGGACCCUCAGCCCGUCAUGCCUUGUUCACCAUGGGCAAGUUCACGAUGACCAUGUGGUUCUCCCCUCGGUGCAGGGAGGCUGCCACUGGGCUCUAAGCACUGCAGCAACUUCAGGGUGAGAACUGAGGCCAAGGGCUAUCGUAAACUCCUGGUGGGCUACAACACAGCCAUGUCCGUCUGAGUGCUGGGAUCACCAUCGCUGCCUACCUGCCCUUCAAGGUCCUUGUGGAUGUUGCUCAUUUCUCCUGCAAAGCCUACCUGUCUGGAGCUAAUUGAUAGAGGCAGCACAGAGAGACUGGUGCCAUCAGAGGAAGAUGGUCAUCGCCUUGGUUUCCAAGAGAAGGGGCCGGCCACACCAUACGGUGCAGGGCCACAGAGGGGAAGCACCAUUGCCACAGGGAGCUGGAGCCUAACUCAGAGAAGACACAUCAGCAUGGUCCCAGGGGGAAAGACAACUUUGUGCACAUUGAGAAGAGCCCCAACAAAACUUGUGUCGUCUGCAUGAUCAGUGUGGGCCUGACGCUGCUCAAGUGUGGAACAUGGAGCACCUGGGCCUCUCCAACUUCAUCCCACUGCUGGUCCUUCUGGCCAUCUCUCCAGAGCCAUGUGGAGUCUGGAUGGUGGGGGAUUUCCUCUUUCUGGUCACCAUUUUGGUCAGCCUAGAAGGUAAGAGAGACCCUGGCCAAGGGAAACCUGUGGAGAGAUCGGCACUUGCAUAGAUGAGCAGGAAAUCUCAAGGAGAUGCUUGG